Molecule: ribosomal RNA, 243 nt
Filed under: uncultured bacterium
Lineage: Bacteria
Description: partial 16S ribosomal RNA
Rfam family: Bacterial small subunit ribosomal RNA
Source: RNAcentral
CACUUCCUACGGGGCGCAGCAGUGGGGAAUAUUGCACAAUGGGGGAAACCCUGAUGCAGCGACGCCGCGUGAGCGAAGAAGUAUUUCGGUAUGUAAAGCUCUAUCAGCAGGGAAGAAAAUGACGGUACCUGACUAAGAAGCCCCGGCUAAAUACGUGCCAGCAGCCGCGGUAAUACGUAUGGGGCAAGCGUUAUCCGGAUUUAUUGGGCGUAAAGCGAGUGCAGGCGGGUCAAUAAGUCUUGU